This 4269-nucleotide long non-coding RNA is filed under the name Aquilegia coerulea. RNAcentral's name for it is "long non-coding RNA (ACOE_LNC000272)". Lineage: Eukaryota; Viridiplantae; Streptophyta; Magnoliopsida; Ranunculales; Ranunculaceae. The record is from RNAcentral.
GUGUUAAGUGCUUGUAGUUGUAUGAGAUGCAAGAUAUAUGUACUGUAUACAGUGGAGAUUUGAUGUAAUUGAUAUGAAUUUCAAUUGGUUGACAUUUGAUUAUGUUAUCAAUUAUCUGCAAAGAAUUGGAAUGAGGACCUUUGUGCCUGCUAUAUAUGAUAACACUACCCAUUACUAAAUUAUUAGAUCUGUUGGCGAGUCUUGGCUGUACUAAUUUGUGGAUGGAAGUCAGUGUCAGAGUACUCUUUAUCGAUUGUGCCACUGUGGCCUUUAUCUCUGUUUUGCGUUUGUUAGUUUGAUCCAAUAUCAUAGAAGUGGAAUGAGCUGAGUUUAAAUUGGUUGAUGUUAUUGAAAUCUUUGAUGGAGUAUAGCGUUUCUCCGAGGAGAGAAUGGGCAAUUUUAUGAACUACAAAUUUAUAGUCCUCAUUGUUACUACAGUUAGCACUUUGUGAAGUGCAGCUAAGAAACAACUUUCUUUGAAAUAUGCUUAUUCAUAUUAGCUUGAAUCAAAGGAUCCUCAUUUUUUCACACAUGCCUUUUGCAGGUGUGGGUAAGAGCUAUUGAAAAUUGCAGAUCUGGGAUACUGCUGGUCAGGAGCGAUUCAGAACAAUCACAACAGGUAGAUAUCUUUUUGUUAUGUAAUUUUGAUAUUCAUAUAUAUAACUGAGGAAUUGGAUAAUGGAUAAUGGAUAUUGGAAUUGGAUAUUAUAAGUUUAUUAGAUAGAAGACAGGUAAAUGCUGUUAAUGACUUGGUUGAAAAUUUUUGGAGUAUGUUUGCCUGAUUUAUAAAAGGUAAAUGUUGUUUACAUUUGAUUAUACGUGACUUGUACGCCAUAGUAUAUGUCCAUAGAGGUGUAUAACUGCAACUAAGCUAGUCAGAAAGGCUAUAAGUUGGAAGAAGGUUUGAAAUAUUUGAAACAAAAGUCGUGGGAGGAAUAAUAUGUUAAAGGACUAUAAAAGAUUAAUGAAAGUGGUUUUAAUCAGAAACAAAACAAAUGAGAAUGUUUAGAGCUGAGUUGAGAAUAUAUGAAGUUUGCAGUGCAAGUACAUGGUUGAUUUGCCUCUGCUAAAGAAACUGUUAACACGGCAGUAAGUUUAAAAAUAGUUUAUAAGUUGUCGGGAAUGUUGUAUGAAUGAUAUACAUGUGGACUUAUAGUUUAUGAGAAUUAGUUAGUGAGAUGAAUGAUUUCACACAAAGGCCCAGAAAGUGCCAAUCCACCAAGGCUUAUAUCCCUUAAUACGUUUAGAAUAUACCUGUAGUCUGGUGCGUAGAUGUUACAUGUCAAUAUGUCAUGCGUUUAAUCUAACUAGAUUUCUAGAAUUUUGAUACAGUAACUCAAAGUGUUAGAUGGUUGUGAAGUCUACUUUUUGGUGAUUAUAAGGAAGCUUUUGCUAACUUCUUUAUAUUAAUCUUGUUGGGUUUAUCUUAGUUAUUGUAGUGUUUUUAUUGGUUUUUAGAUGGGGGUAAAAAAUGGAGAGAAUGAUGAUAACAUGGAUUGGACGGAUAACAAUGAGAAUGCUUUUUUGAGCAUGUUACACGAGAAAGUUAAGCGAGACCCAAAAGGCGCACCAACUUUUAAGACAUCUGAUUGGAAUGCUAUGGACAAUGAGUUGUAUCUGUCAAUUGGAGAGAGAUAUGGGGCGGAAAGAUUGAAGGGAAAGUAUAAUUGUCUUCGUAGCAAGCAUCGUUAUUUUUCUGAUUUGUUGGAGCAUACAGGUGUUACUUAUGAUUUGGGUUCAAAUACUGUUUUGCUCCAGAAGAUGUUUGGCAGAUGUUUUUUAAGGUAGUAAAUAUAAAACUUUUUGAUAUUAUUAUGUUUUAUAUUAGUAUGUGGAUUACACACUUAUGAUUAUUAUUUAUAUGUAAAAUCGUAGAAAAACAAGAUCUUCAAGUCAUUUCGAAAGAGUGGUUGCAAGAAUUACCAACUUCUUGGCCAAGUGUUUGAUUAGUCGACUGCGAGUGGACUUCUUCACCAUUCUUCCACCAUGUUACCCCCCAGCUCUGAUGAAGAACGCCAAACCGAAGAAAACUUCUUGAAUAAAGGCAUCCAUGUAACUGAAUCAGGUACUUCAAGCUCGAAGGGUAAGCGGCCAGCUGAAGAUUUCUUGCCAGGUUGUAUUCGGGUGAAGAAGGAGUCAAAAUUGGAGAAGUUGGAUUCAUGCUUGCAAAUCUGGGCAUCUACCUUGGAGGCUAGAGCUAAAAAAGAUCUUGCAAAGGCAGCCAUAUACAAUGACCAAUCAUCUAACAAAGCCACUAGUCCUGUAUCUGAUCCUUAUACUAUUGAGGAAUGUAUGGAUGUCUUGGAAAGUAUGGCGAAUGUUCCUGGUGAUUCAUACACCAAAGCUUUGGAGAAGUUCAAAGACCCAGAUUGGAGGAAGAUGUUUAUCAAGAUGUCUAGCUAGUCCUAGGAGAAAGAUGUGGGUAGAACGUUUGUAGUAAUUAUGAGUGUGGUGUGCUAUAGAGAAAUUUCUAGUGACUAUGAGUGUAGUGAGGUGAUCAGAUUAUAGUUGGGAUUAUUAUUAUUAUUGUGUUUUGUUUUAUAAUUGUUGAUGAUAUUUGGAUGUUAGUGUUUUAUUGCUGUUGAUACAAUGGAUGAAUCGAAUGAUUUGUUAUUGAAUUGAAUGAUUGAUAUAUUGAUGAAUGAGUUCAGGUCACUGGUUUAUAGGUUUUUUAAUGGAUGAAUAUGUUGCAGAUUUUUCAUAUUGUGAUAAACAUUGUAGUUGGAUUUUGAUUCUACUUAGUUCUAAUUCUUCUUCUGUUGUAUCUGAAUGUGGAAUUUCAUUCUUUAAAUGACGACACUAUUAGACAGGAAUGUGAUAUCUCGCUGUGUAAUAUGUUUAAUAUGUUACUAAAGUUGUGGAUGCUUGGGUUUGAAUUAAAUUCCUUGUUAAAUACUAGCCCCUCUCUGAGUCAUUUCUAGUUUUGCAGGUUGGACUUUUUAUUACAUUUGCUAAAUAAUUACAAUGCCCUCUUGGUAUGUUUCAGGUUGCUAAGUAGGAACUGCUUGCUUUUCUGAGACCUUUGGUUAGCAGCUAGCAUUGAAGGAAAGGUCACAUUGCAAGAGAAGCACCACUAAUACUAGGUAUACUUAUCUAUGCUUCUUAUACUAAUAAUAAGAAGUAGAUUUGUUUUUGUAUCUGAUUGUAUAUAUAUUAAUGUUUCAGCCAAGUUAAGCAUGCUUGUAUUCAAAUGAAACUUGUGUAUUGCUUUAUGACAUUCCAGUUUGUAGAAUUGGAUAUUGAAAAAUAGAACUUUAAAGACCUGGUUACAACAUUAUCAAAAACAAAAUUAUGUCUCUGACAUAUUGACAAGUGCUAAUCAACAAACCUUUAGUAGAAUACAUAAUUUAAUCUUGUCUUGGAAAUUCAUUGAGUUCUUGAGUUUUGUAAUGGUGGCAUGAUCAUCUGGUUUUCUUCAAGAAAAAACUUAUCUGACAACUGAGUGGUAGAUGAACUUAUCUUCAUUCAUUAAUGCAGUAAAAUGACACACGCUAUAGCGAGCAGUUCCUUGCAAGGUUUAUCAAGUUCAAGCUCAAGUGAUGAUGAUUUCGAUGAGGACAUGAUAGAUUUAUUAAUGAUUAGACAUGUAUUAGAAUAUGAGAGCCUCUUUGUGGAUAAGACUCCUUGUAGGACAUCAAUUCUUAGGGGCAAGGAAUAUAUUCUGGAAGUAUUAGAAGGAAAUCCUACAAGAUGUUUUGAAAGUUUUCGUAUGAAGCCACACGUAUUUAGAAAUUUAUGUGAUAGGUUGAAAAUGAUGAAAGUACUACAAGAUCAAAAAGAUGUCAGUGUGGAAGAAGGUCUGGCUAUGGGGUUAGCAAUAUUGGGCCAUGGUCACAAGCAAAGAAUUGUGGCUGAGCGAUUUCAACAUUCAACUGCUACGGUGCACAAAUGGUUUAAAUGGACAAUCAGAGCAUUAGCAGCUUUAGGUACUAAUUUGAUUAGGCCAGUGAAUAGAGGACAAGUGCAACCUGAAAUUCAGAGUAAUAUCCAUAUUUCAAGGUAUGCUAGUAAAUAUGAUUUUAUAAUUAUGCAUUUGUUAGUAAAUUAUUAUUAUUUUCUUUAAUAAAAAUAAAAAUAAUUUAUAUCAAUAACUUGUAUAUCUUGUUGUAGAACUGUAUCGGGGCUCUAGAUGGUACUCACGUAGCGGCUUGGUCUCCGGCAUCCAAGCAUACAACCUUUCGGGGUAAAAAAUCAGCUCUUAUCACACAAAAUGUCAUGGCUGCUUGUUCUCAAGAUAUGAUGUUCACUUUUGUGUACACUGGAUGGGAA